Molecule: transfer RNA, 77 nt
Filed under: Bifidobacterium tissieri
Lineage: Bacteria; Bacillati; Actinomycetota; Actinomycetes; Bifidobacteriales; Bifidobacteriaceae
Also listed under: 2 other names
Description: tRNA-Met
Rfam family: tRNA
About the family: Transfer RNA (tRNA) molecules are approximately 80 nucleotides in length. Their secondary structure includes four short double-helical elements and three loops (D, anti-codon, and T loops).
Source: RNAcentral
CGCGGGGUGGAGCAGCUCGGUAGCUCGCUGGGCUCAUAACCCAGAGGUCCAUGGUUCAAAUCCAUGCCCCGCUACAA